AUUCCUCCCUGGUUACACCCUCCCAUAUCUUUCCCCAUCUAUGAAACCUUCAACCAGAAGAAAGAAUAAGAAGAUGGAGAGGCAACUUCAAGCCCUAGACAAGUGCAUCACAGCGAGUCAAAUACCGAUAGCUUUUAAUUAUGCACCGCUAUUAGUUGAAGCUGCCAGCAUGAUCUGAGCUUUCCUUAAUUUUCCUAUACGGGAAAGACUAGAUCAUGUGGCAGUUUCACCUAUUGAUGGUAGUAUGGAAAACCCUAAUCAGAACCCUAAUUUCCUCCAGUGAUCUAUCUUUGCGAACCCCAUUAGGGUUCUUCCUUGGAGAAGAAAACACUAGAUGAGGUAUGUCUUCUUUUUCCUGUUUGAUUUUCACUGAUCUGUGUAUGUGUUCCCUUAUUGUUCUUUUUCCCACCACCAGCUGCUCUCUUAUAUAUGAUGGGAUGUUUUUUUUUUGUAGUAUCUUGAACUUGUUAUUGUGCCGUACUGCUGUGUUGUGUUCUUCUUAUUCAUGUCAAAAUCUGUUAAAGAAUAGCAAGAUGUGAGUAACUGACAAGAUUUUUGUCUUAACAUGGUUGGUGCUUUUUGAAAUCUAUCUUCCCGUGCCUUGAAAACAGUGUGCCUUUUCAUAUUGGAAGAGAGCGUCUUUAUAUUUCUCCUUUACAGUUCAUGUCAAUUUCUGUGUUGUUGGUCAUGCAUAUCGAUCCCUUUGCAUAUCACUAAGAACCUAAUUUCAGCUAUGAUUUCAUUUUUACUGCAGACUAUAUUCAAAUAUAGAUUAAUACACACCACUAAUUUAGCUGUUUUUUUUCUAUUAUGUUUUUUUUCCUACUCCUCUUAUAUAUUUGUAACACACUUAUUUUUUUUUAAUUUCCUGUAUUAAUCAUUCAACUUUUUAGAGUUCAUUUUUUUAAAUAAUUACUUUUUAAUUAAUACACUCUAUUGUUAUUAAAAAAAAACAUCAUGCAUGUUCAAUCUCCCAUCUAGACAAUCUUAUUUUAUUUGUUGAGUCUUGGGACUGGAUACAUUAUGUUUUAUGCCAUGGAUCAUCUUGAAAUUAAAUAUAACCAAAUACAACUUAGUACAAAAUAUGUGGGAUGAUAAUGCUCGCAUAUACGGAUUGAUGUCUACUUGUCAAAUUGAGACUGAUUGCUUGGAAGAUCACAUAUAUAGCUAGCUGAUAUAUAUCGAUAUGGAGAAUAAAAUUCUCCCUGUAGUGUGUGUGGGUGGUGGAGAGUAUGGGGUGUGUUUUGUUCUGGAGUCAGCAAAUUAUAAUCAUGAAAAUGGGUAGCAAUAGCAUGACUGCAGAUGCGUGAAAUAUAGGACCAGUCCAUAUAAUGGUGCACUUUUGGACAUAAAUUAAUGCAACUUGAUCAGAAAUGAAUAGAGCCUCAGAUCUAGUAGAGGAUAACAUAAAUUUCCUACUUUUAUGUUUUUCUUAGGAAAAAAAACCAAACAUAUUAGAGUAGGACCUUGAAAUACACACCCCCUAUGGAAUAAUAUGAUCAUUAGUGCUCCAGGGGAUCUCCCGUUGGAAUGCAAGCCAAUAUCCCAUUUUGGAUUCUCAAACUCCCUCUAGUAAAAGAUAAAAAAAAAGAACCAAUUUUUAUUUAUUGUGUAGAUAUAUGUGAUGGAUGUAUAUAUAAUUGUAAUAUAAAUUUGUAUCAAAUGCAUGUGGUUACAAGUAAUUAGAACGUACAAGCUGCGACGUGCUCUAUAAACCAUUAAUUCUAUGUGGUUUAGGUCUUAAUUGCAAUCAUUAUCAUCUAACCGACCUUUAUCUAAAUCUCAAGGUCAAACUAGAUGACAAAUUCUAAUAAAUUUAGGUCGAAUUAGAUGAAAGAACACGUAUGGUUUAUUCCUUUCUUGUAUCGGCCUCUCAUUUUCUUGGUUAAGUCCAUAUUUUCUAUACUUUUUCCUUUUUUUUUCUCCAGAAAAACAUCAAUUAUAUGUGGUGAUUAUUGAUGUCCUAAUUUGUUGUUCUUGCCUAAGAUAAGUUUUGCCCUUUUUUUCUUGUUGGGUUUGAGUUCGAUGAAGCUCAAGUUUCUUAGAGGAAGUUAGAAUAUGGUCAAUUUUCUCUACGCCAUGAACUCCAUGGCACUGCCUCACAUGUGAGACUAAUUUUUUUCCUCCAUCUGUUUGGAUCUCUCUUACGUGUAUAGAUAUAUAAUGCAUGUCUGUCUUGUGAGAUUUUUUCUUGUAGCAAUUUAGGGGAAGAGCAUAAGUUUGCUGAUUAAUUUGACUGUCUCUUAAUUACUUAUUCACUUUCGUUUGUUUUUUAAUCUUACUUCAUUUUUUAAAAGAAAAACUUUGUUUAAUUAUAAGAUCCUUAAUUACACUUAUUAUGCAUUGAAAAGUCUAUUAAAUUGUGCAAAUUAAUUCAUGAUAUCCUUUAUCUCUGUAGAUGAUCCCUUUUCCCUUUACUCAUGAUCAUGUAGAUGUGUCUAGCUAGUACUAUUUUAAAUUCUAUAUUCGACCUUAAUUAUUUAAAUGUUUUAGUUUUUUUGUUUGAGCGAUUCUCAUUGGAUGUGGAAGGCUUUUACACAAGGGGCAUGCUAAUAAAGUAUACAGAUAGCUCAAGCAUUGGAUUAAGUGACGGCCAUUUAAUCUCUAGUAGUGCAGAUCCAUUUACAAAAGUAUGGUGAUCACAACAUAUGCAGAAGGAGCCUGCUUGUACUGGAAGACAAGGUUUCUGGGUUCCUUGAUAGAGUUCGUACAAGACAUUAAUGGGACUCUCACAUGAAGUCUACCAACCCUAGUAGGCAUAUAUCUUCUUGACUCUGGCAUUGUUGUUCAGUUACUUACAAUUACUCAUUGGUCUGUACUUGGAACAUAAAUAUUUAGGCUGCCAAAAGAAUUUCAACGCCAUGGUUUGAACUUUGAAGUCAGAAGCCAUAGCAUAAGCUGAUAAUUAGCACUGACUUCUUCAUUUCA
Molecule: long non-coding RNA, 2928 nt
Organism: Populus nigra (black poplar)
Lineage: Eukaryota; Viridiplantae; Streptophyta; Magnoliopsida; Malpighiales; Salicaceae
Exons: 2
Source: RefSeq, a predicted model, not a curated record